RNAcentral lists this long non-coding RNA (869 nucleotides) under Homo sapiens (human). RNAcentral describes it as "MAGI2 antisense RNA 3". Lineage: Eukaryota; Metazoa; Chordata; Mammalia; Primates; Hominidae. The record is from RNAcentral.
AUGACACUCAAGGCUGUGGCCCCGCAGCAGAGGAAGCAGUGGUGGUGGCGUCGGCGGCGGCGGCGGCGGCAGCCGGAGCGAGCAGUAGCCGAGCUGGUUUGCAUCCAAGAGAGGGGAGGACAGGGGCAAAAGGAUGCAGGGAGGCUGCUGAUUUCCACUGAAGAGCUAAUUUCCUGUGAGACAUUAACAGUGAUUUAAGAAAAAGAUUCCUGUAACUGUAAUGUCUUACAAUAACAGAAUGCAGGAGAGCACAUAUCAAUGAAGAAAAGACAAAAUGUACUUAUCCAUGAAGCUGAGGUUAAGAAACCAGUGUCUUCAAGAGCCAGGGACAGCACUGGGUCUGUGCAGAGUUGAGAGAUGGUGAUGACAUGUGACAGAGCUCCUUGCUGCUCAAAUUUUAUGCCAGAUAAAAUAUUCACCUUCUCGGACUCCCUGGCACCAGGCAUGGCCAUGUAAUCCUACAGCACAGCUGAUGAAAGAGAAGACAUCUUGCUGCUAUUUGACAAGCAAGAAGAUAAAAGCUUUCCUAUAAAGAUGAUGGAGCAAAAAAAUAGAAGGGGCCUAGACUCCCUACCUUCACACUUCCUGCUAUAAAAGCAUUGCUAUUAUAAGGUUAAUCUGCAGAAACAGACUUCUAUGUCAUAUGCUUAAAUGCAUCAAAAUUCAUACAAUAUCCAUUAAAUUGGUAAAAGUAUCCAUUUUAAAGGAUUAAUCUGAGGGACCCACAGACACUUAACACAAUCAAAUCUCAGAAAAAAAAUCAGUUAUUUCAUUGUGAUUUUGAGGCUGAUCUUUUAUGAUCUUUUAGUUAUCAAACUGUUAAAUACAUUUUAACUUUCAAAUUUUAUGAAUAAAGGAGAUGAAUCCUG